Molecule: non-coding RNA, 74 nt
Organism: Rattus norvegicus (Norway rat)
Lineage: Eukaryota; Metazoa; Chordata; Mammalia; Rodentia; Muridae
Source: Rfam
GAGGGAUUAGCUCAGGUGGUAGAGUGUUCACUUUAGCAUGUGAGAGGUAGUGGGAUCGAUGCUCACAUCCUCCA